Molecule: ribosomal RNA, 222 nt
Filed under: uncultured Acinetobacter sp.
Lineage: Bacteria; Pseudomonadati; Pseudomonadota; Gammaproteobacteria; Moraxellales; Moraxellaceae
Description: partial 16S ribosomal RNA
Rfam family: Bacterial small subunit ribosomal RNA
Source: RNAcentral
UGCGUAGGCGGCCUGUUAAGUCAAAUGUGAAAUCCCCGAGCUUAACUUGGGAAUUGCAUUCGAUACUGGUUAGCUAGAGUAUGGGAGAGGAUGGUAGAAUUCCAGGUGUAGCGGUGAAAUGCGUAGAGAUCUGGAGGAAUACCGAUGGCGAAGGCAGCCAUCUGGCCUAAUACUGACACUGAGGUGCGAAAGCAUGGGGAGCAAACAGGAUUAGAUACCCGC